RNAcentral lists this ribosomal RNA (171 nucleotides) under Clostridium perfringens. RNAcentral's name for it is "partial 16S ribosomal RNA". It matches the Rfam family "Bacterial small subunit ribosomal RNA", at positions 15 to 186 of the family's 1533-position model. The record is from RNAcentral. Lineage: Bacteria; Bacillati; Bacillota; Clostridia; Eubacteriales; Clostridiaceae.
GAUCCUGGCUAGGAUGACGCUGGCGGCGUGCUUAACACAUGCAAGUCGAGCGAUGAAGUUUCCUUCGGGAAACGGAUUAGCGGCGGACGGGUGAGUAACACGUGGGUAACCUGCCUCAUAGAGUGGAAUAGCCUUCCGAAAGGAAGAUUAAUACCGCAUAAUGUUGAAAGA